UGGGGAAUAUUGGACAAUGGGCGCAAGCCUGAUCCAGCCAUGCCGCGUGUGUGAAGAAGGUCUUCGGAUUGUAAAGCACUUUAAGUUGGGAGGAAGGGUUGUAGAUUAAUACUCUGCAAUUUUGACGUUACCGACAGAAUAAGCACCGGCUAACUCUGUGCCAGCAGCCGCGGUAAUACAGAGGGUGCAAGCGUUAAUCGGAAUUACUGGGCGUAAAGCGCGCGUAGGUGGUUAUGUAAGUUGAAUGUGA
Molecule: ribosomal RNA, 250 nt
Filed under: uncultured bacterium
Lineage: Bacteria
Description: partial 16S ribosomal RNA
Rfam family: Bacterial small subunit ribosomal RNA
Source: RNAcentral